RNAcentral lists this ribosomal RNA (254 nucleotides) under uncultured bacterium. Its description in RNAcentral is "partial 16S ribosomal RNA". It matches the Rfam family "Bacterial small subunit ribosomal RNA", at positions 524 to 776 of the family's 1533-position model. The record is from RNAcentral.
UACGUAGGGUGCAAGCGUUAUCCGGAUUUAUUGGGCGUAAAGAGUUCGUAGGCGUCUCAACGCAUCUUGCUUCAAAUUCCAGGGCUCAACCCUGGGCAGGGGUGAGAGAUGGUUGGGAUUUGAGUUUACUAGGGGAUACUGGAACUUGUGGUGUAGCAGUGAAAUGCGUUGAUAUCACAAGGAACACCAAGGGCGAAGGCAGGUAUCUGGGGUAACACUGACGCUGAGGAACGAAAGCUAGGGGAGCGAAAGGG